GUAGAAGACCCAGUGGCCACCGCGAGCGUGAGGAGGCGGGGCCUGGCGGAGCCUGGGUCUGGGCCUUGACCAAGGAGGCAGAGAAAGGUGGCCCAAGGAGGGCGCUGGGGUGCUGCUGUGGUCGGCCAACAAGGUGUUUGAGGAGCUGACGGACAUCGAGAGGCAGUUCCACAAGGCCUUCUACACGGUGCGGGCCUACCUCAACUGCGAGCGGUACUCCGUGGGCCUCCUGGAUAUGACCAAGGAGAAGGAAUUUUUUGACGUGUGGCCUGUGCUGAUGGGAGAGUCCCAGCCGUACUCGGGCCCACGCACGCCUGAUGGCCGGGUGAGUCUUAGGGGAGGGGCCCAGGGCCCGUCCACACGCCUCUGUUUCCCUGGCUCCAACUGCAGGGCAGGAGAGGGAGGAAUAGGGGUGGGGUUUAGGGAGGUGGGAACUGGCGGGUGGGCCCCCGGGUGCCUGUCUGUCGUCUCCACCAGGCUCCCCUGCUGCACUCCAGGGAUGGAGUGUCCAGGGCUGGUCCCUGAAUGAGGGCCUCCAGGCU
RNAcentral lists this small RNA (542 nucleotides) under Pongo abelii (Sumatran orangutan). RNAcentral's name for it is "retained intron". The record is from RNAcentral. Lineage: Eukaryota; Metazoa; Chordata; Mammalia; Primates; Hominidae.